This 254-nucleotide ribosomal RNA is filed under the name uncultured bacterium. RNAcentral describes it as "partial 16S ribosomal RNA". It matches the Rfam family "Bacterial small subunit ribosomal RNA", at positions 524 to 777 of the family's 1533-position model. The record is from RNAcentral.
UACGGAGGGGGCUAGCGUUGUUCGGAAUUACUGGGCGUAAAGCGCACGUAGGCGGCUUUGUAAGUUAGAGGUGAAAGCCCGGGGCUCAACUCCGGAAUUGCCUUUAAGACUGCAUCGCUAGAAUUGUGGAGAGGUAAGUGGAAUUCCGAGUGUAGAGGUGAAAUUCGUAGAUAUUCGGAAGAACACCCGUAGCGAAGGCGGCACUCUGGGCCGGUACUGACGCUGAGGAGCGAAAGCGUGGGGAGCAAACAGGG